Molecule: long non-coding RNA, 18914 nt
Organism: Athene cunicularia (burrowing owl)
Lineage: Eukaryota; Metazoa; Chordata; Aves; Strigiformes; Strigidae
Exons: 3
Source: RefSeq, a predicted model, not a curated record
CGGGGCUGGGAUGGGGGUGGUGUUUGGAGAGGUAGGCAGCCGUGUGUGGUGGAGGAAGCCGGGGUGGCUCCGGUGGCCCUCGGGGUGCUGUCCCUUGCGCCUUCGGGGAAGAGGGGUCCCUGGCGGGGUCUGUAUCUGCUGAGGUGUUCGGCCUGUGCCUCGGAUGAAGUAUAGAGAGCGGUUUGAAGAGCAAGGCUGAGCUCUUGGCCUGGCCUUGGUGAGGGAGGCCCUCAGCAGGGAGCAGGCUGGGAAGUGGCCUUGUCAGACACCAGGCGACAGCCUGUGUUUGCUGAUUUGGGGCUCUUUUUAAGGGUUGUGGCUUCUGUCUGAUAGCGACGCUAAUAGCGCUUGGCUGUCAUAGAUACGUUGCUUAGUGUGACCAGCAGGUGGAGUUUUGCUCCCGCCUAAAGGCAGUUGUCCUCAGUAUGACCAUGGAGACAUAAAUCAACCUUGAAAAAGCUGAGAGUGGAUGAGGUGGUGUAAGACCUCUCAGCAUGGUAUGGGAGCAGUCAAGCUAACUUGCUUCCCAGUUUUUCACCUGUGCUUGCUGUCUAGUGUUGGCAUGGGUUAGCCAGCUGUCUAGGUGCUGUCUGAGUUCAGCAUGCCUUCUGACUGGUGUGUAGGAGGUAGGCUAGAUUUUGAGCAGCGAGUUGUAGACUUUCUAUACUGAAUAUCAUCCCUGCUUGUGCUUGUCUUUGUGCUGGGGAAUGGGAAAUGAGCCAUUCACCAAAUGAGAGACUAAUUAAAUCUCACUUAGACUUAAGGAGACUGAAGUUAAAUAACAUGUGGAAGAUCUCUGGUCAAAACUGGAAAGGAAGAUAUUCAAAGUAUUGCAUGGUUUGUGAAAUAACACCAUUUCUAGUUACAGCUGAUUCCUGUUAAAUAAAGUAUUACUUCAAGAAGAUACUCCAUUAAAAGAGUUGUAAAGAGUUUUGCAGGCUCGCUGGAAGUCUUGGCUAAAGUCCGGUAGUAGUGGUGUAGCUCAUGAAAAAAGGGGGUUACAAGUUUUUAUUUUAUACUUUGGCUCCUCCUGGAGGUAAGUAAAAUGCAUUUGCUCAGGAUAUUUCCUCAGUAACUACACAGCUAUAGUAGUCUGUUAGCCCCAGGAUACACUUGAAAGGUAGAGGAAGGAUAUCAUGAAAUGUUUUGUGAUGCAGUUACUUAACCUGAACCUUUCAUCCUCUCAAGAUUUGUUGAUGUUACAGCAGUGUGUGCCAUUCUUCUCUCUCUUUAAAUACAGCUCCCUCCAGUUAAAGAAUUUGAACCAGUUGCUUGCCUUCCUGUAAAAUGUGCAGUGUCCUGGGUCAGGAGGUGCUUCUCCCCACCCCCAGCUUGUCCAGUUUUGCAUGUUAAUCACUGAAGAAAAGGAGUGGAGAGAGUGUAAUGCUCUGUUGCUGCUAUAACUUUCAGUAAUAGUUUCGUAUGUCUGAAAAAUUCUGGAUUACAGGUACAGCCCCUUCUUUUCUACUUCUGUUUCUUUACACAGAUACCUUUAGAUUAGGUGUGCUGUAGGUGGGGAAAAAAGGGGCAGUGACGUGAUGCCUUCUGUCACAACAGUUGCCCACUGUAGACUUUUAAGUCUGUGCUCAUCUGUGCAGCUGAUGCCAAGCAACAAUGGUAAGUAUUGCAGUGGAAUAAUGGGGCAGCUUGGUUCUCUUUUCUAUAACUGGCAGAAAACAUGGAUGCGAAAUCUUCCAUCUGAGAUGAUCUGCUGACCUAAUGAUGUUAUACUUUGUUUUUUAAACUGGUUAGAAGCAAUUGGUUUCACCGGCACCGAUUCUCUCUUCCUCCCUUUCCCCAUUGUGUCCUCUGGGGAGGAGAUAAGGAUGCAUCCUGCUUUACAGAUAACUUUAUUUCAUUGUUGAUACCAUGUUUAUCUGAACAUGUAGAUGCCACAGAUGUCUCAGCUAAGAGUUGCUGUAUCAUACUGAAAUGUAGAAAAGUUACAGAAAAAAGGAAAUACGGAAACAAGGCAAAUGAAUGCCUGAUGCAAGAGACAAGUAAACUAGUUCUCUGUGUGUGUAGUUCACUUUGUCAUUUUAGAGUGUGUCUCAUAUAUCAGUGUAUGAUCACAACUUGUCAGAAAUGUUAAUGGUGAAACCUGUGUUAUAUGUCUCAGGCUUGGAUACUCAGUUCACCUGAAAGCACUAAUGUCCAAGCUUCUUCUGACCUAACAGGUCUUAACUGCAAGAUCCACAAGAAGCUUACAGUCCUGUUGCAGAGAUAAGUUGUCUCAGCAUUUCAUAUGAGAAGACAUAAGCUGAUGAUAGAUUUGAAAGCCUGCCUUUGGUGUUUCUUAAAUACACGGUUAAACUCUGUUUCAGUACUGUUUAAUGAAAAGUUAUUCCAGUGUCUGUAUGUCCUGAGCCUGUGAUGCUUAGAUUUUGUACUGGGCUACUAUGCUGAUACCCUACACUGCAGAAACUACGGGUUGUCUUUUUCCUAAAGUGAUUUUGGUCACUGUGGACUCAGGUAAGCAACCAUCCAGUGUCCUGAGGACCAGAAGAAGCACUUGGAGGACCCUGCAGGAUGGAUGUAGAAGAUAAGGAUAAGUAUGAAUGUGUGAUGCCUUUGUUCAAAGAAGAAAUUGCUUAAUCGAAGUCCAUAUGUAGUAACCUGGCUUCAUAUCUCGGCUUUUAUUCUGACAAGUUCUUGCUUUUAAUGAGAACUUCAAGGAUUGGGAUGCUCUAAAUUGAGCCUGCACUGGAUAGCACACCAAAACCAACUCUACAGCCUGCAUGAGAAAUACACGGAUUUAUGAGACUAAGUAUGCAAAUAUGCUAUAACAUAACUUUUAAGGUGUCUUACUCUGGUGUCAUGGUGUCAACAUCCAUGUCAGUGCAGCAGAGAGGACUGGCAGGAUGUUGGGGUUGUCUCAGUUCUUGCAAAUCGUCAGGCCUACAUAAUUCCUAGUAUGCAAAUUAGCCAGAUGAAAGGAUUUUCAUACGCGCUCAAGCAGGGACUGCAGUAUGGUUUGUAAGGGUGGUUGAUAGGAUCUAUGCUAGUCUUGGCACAUAAUUUUUGUUUUACAAUCCCCUUUUCUUAAUUAUCCCAGCUGUAAAGUUUAGUUGUCCACAGUCCCCUUGGAGGAAGGAGGAGAGUUUAAGUGUCACUGACCAACUGUUUGCUUCAAAGCCAAUGGGGGAAGGGUGUAAACUCUUUAACAUCAAAGUUAUUGCUCAGAUUCUGGAGGCUGAUGAAGCUGCUGUGAAAGGUUUUUUUGUUUGUCUUCCAUGGACGUAACAACUAUUUCCCAAAGAGUCUGGAACUGCAAUGUGAAAGGUAAGAGAGUUAAUUGAGCUGAAUAUAAUAGGUAAGUACUUCUAUAUUGUGUUACAGUUUCCUAGUAUCUUACUGAUAACUACAGAAAAAUACAUUGUGUUGUCUUUUUUGUUCUCAAACAGGAAGAGCUUGAAGAAACAGCUAAGAGUGGAAGGCUUCUGUUCCUUAUUAAGUGUUCUCGAUGAAAUUGUGGGAAGUACAAGAAGAGUGCUCUAAGAGCAGUGGACAACCUCUUCAGGCAGCACAGACAUGCUCUUCAACUGAGACAUGGCAGCAGUUCAAUGGCAGUUACACAACACAAAAGGGUGUGGAGGUUACUGCAAGUCCCAGGGUUCAUAAGAACUGGUAUCUGAAAAAACUCACUUUAGAGAGAAAAAAAAAUUGGUUCCUUCCACAACUUUUAACUCUCUUGAAUUUUAAGUGACAACUCAUCUGAUACUGAAACAGGAAAUUACUUUUACUGUAGGUGCUGGAGAAGGGCAUCAGAAUAGUGGACUUAAAAGUGCUAGUCAGGGCACUGUCAUGGGCUUUGGAAGAACUGCAGGUAGUUUGAGUACAAGAGACUCCAGUUGUGGGAAGCUCCUUUUUGAGAAGGCACCCUAGCAGAGGGGGAAACCUGCUCAACAGAGGAGACUCAAAAGUUGUGUAUGUUCUGCAGCUGUUUCUUGGAUACAUACAGCUAUCUCAAGGUGGGAUGGCCUAAGAUGACCACUGACGAGAGCAUAUAUGCAACUAUCCAAAACCACCUAAGCAGCUUCAGUUUUUGUUGAAUUAAGUAUUUCCUGAUUUAAAAAUAAUAGUUUUGUUUGGUUCACCUAACUCACGCAGAGCUGUUUGGCUGAUUGCAGCACUUCUCUGAGGAUAAGAAACCUUCCCCACCCAUGGGUUGCUGGAGACUGGCACACAAACAUGACUCAGAUGGGCUCCAGGGCUGAGGGUAAAUCCUUUGGUUGCCCGUGUUCCAGUUGUACACACCAGGUGCACCUAAGCAUUUCCAUGUUGAGCAAGAGAACACGGGCUGUGCUGUUUAAGGUGAGCUUUGUGUGCACAGCCCUCUUCAGCACAGAAGUAAAACCCUGUAUUGCAUAAAGCAGGUAGGGGUAUCAUGUGGUUACACUCUGCACCUCGUUCGCCGCUAAUCCUGGAAAGGUCCCUUUUUGUUGUGUAAGUGGUAAAACUGAGUCAGUAACAUACUGCUCAGCCAAUGUGCACAUCUGUUGCAGACAAGCAGUCUGUGAGCUGACAUCCUCAAGCAUGGUACUAGCUCUUAAAAAAAAAAAAAACAAAAAACAGGGAAUUUGUUGGAAGGGUCAACAUAAACUACUGAAAUUAACAGCCCGCUAAAAAUAUCUUUGUGGCUAUAAUAUGUUUUGACAAAUGAUUAAUGGUGUGACAAAGGCAAUGUGAACAUUCCGUUAUGGCAGACUUCCAACACUUGUCUUGUUUUCGUAAAGUUUGUAGGGGAAAAGAGUUGGAGAAUGUGCAAGCCAUAGCCAGAGGUAAAAAAUUAAUUUUAACUGGAAUUUUGUGAAAUUGUGCACCAUUAUUUUCUAAGGAAGUCCUGCAACUAAAUUGAUCAUGCUAGUGUUCUCAGGUUCUCCAUCUAUUUGGAUGCAGUGGUGCAAAAUAUAUGUUGCUUCCUAUAUGAUUCAGCUUAAAAUAGAAGUUUUGGCAGUGUGAGUACCUAAACGACAGUAUUGCACACAAACCACUUCCUUUUGGGUAAGUAAUGCUGCACUGUGGAAAAAGCACAACUCCAGUGAGAGCGUCAUUUGAUAGUAUCUCCUGUGCUGGAAUUUCUUGGAUUUUCUCUCUUCCUUGCCUUGGACUCUGUUGUUUACCCACACUUUUAGCUUUUCUGUACAUUAUUGCUCUUACCUACCACCCUAUUAUUUGUUUGUUUUUUGCUGUUUCUCUGCAAAUACCUCUUCUUGGAAAACUGGGAACAACUAUCUUAGGUUCCUGGCCAAGUUUCCACUCACAUGGUUUCACUUGCUCAGUUCUGUCAUGCAGUAUCCUAAGGAUAUAAUUUAGUGGACUGCUGGUAAGCAGCUAACCUUUAUGUCUUGGCCCCAGUCCACAUAGGUCAGGUUUACACAAGCCUGCUUCCUCAGGAUGAAUUCAGUGGCUACUCUUACAGCCUCUGGUUUACUGUUGCACGACUUUAUGAAAAAAACAGCGUUACACUGCUCUUGCAGACUUAAGAAAGGACAUGCUAGGAUUGAUCGCUUUACCUACUGAUUUGCACGACCCAGAAUCUUACAAGUCUUUUCUGCGCACAGAAGUGCUCAAGGUGAGAAAGAUACUUUUUUCAUGUCUUAAUAGGUCUGACGCUGCAAUAUAGGAGAGGCUUUUCAAAACAACAUAGAGGUGAGAAGAUGGCUAUUUAUCUUGCUCAAAGUAGAGUCUUUUCCUCAGGUUCUGGAUUCAUGCACGUAAGAGUUUUGUAUGCAGUAGAACCUUUUUGGGCAUGCAUUCCUGGGAGGUGUAUUACCUGAGCUGCCUGCUUUAAGCUGUCAGAAAAUACAGUUGCAUGAUGCAGCAGCUGUGGUGACAUUGGAGUUUGGCAUUAUAUUUCGCCUCUUGGGCUUCCUGUGCCACAGUACACCAUUCUCUUUCAUGCCAACACAACUAUCUGGCGCAGCAUGGUGAGCUAUCGGUGUCUUAAUCGGGGUGUUAGCGGACACUCCCUGCCCUAUGUAUGCUUUUUUUAUGGCUCCAGGUGGAAGCAGAGGAGGUUUGCAGUUGUGCGGCUUUCUAAAACCUGGAUCAGGUUAAUGAGCUGGUUUAGAGCAUUUGCAAUAUGGCCAGGUGCACAGCAGAAGUCAGAAAUUCUUGGUCUUGUUGCUGAAGCCUCGGUCUCUAAAUCGUGCAUCUAAGGCUGCAGUUUAUUUUGUGGGGGAGGAGCAGCAGCAGCAGGGUGUCCCUUGUGCACAUUGAUGCUUUUGUUAACCAUGUUUUUCCACUUUUGUUCUCAGGACCCAGCCAAAUGUUUUGCUGCGUGUAGCUGCCUGACCAGGCAGCAGCAGUUUGAGAAACCCUGAUGUCUGUAAGCAGCACUGGUGAUUGCUAGGUGUGGUCCAGACAAAUCCCAGCGGGAGAAGCAAGCUGGAAUAAAAUGUGGAGGAGUUUUCAGUUAGGGGGGGUUUCACUGUCACAGAGAGUACUGAUACAUUCUCCUAUGAUGGAACUAAUUACAGUUAGGGCAUUAUAUGUUACCCCUGCACUCACAGCCAAAUAUCCCUUUUUAUAUUUAAUGGCAGAGUAGAUCAAAAAAAAAAAAAAAAAAAAAAAAGGGUACUAAAAUGUUUCACAUAUGUUAGAUUAAAAGCCCAAUCUCAGUUUUCCACGUCAGUGUUUUUGCAGUGCUCCUGAUAUGAGUGAAGUCAGCUUUGCUACCAUGAACUCUUCACAAUGCAAAUACGAUUAGCAGCCUCCAUUCUGAUAGUGGUGAAGUCUUCGAUGAGGAUGAUGUGGUGGCAGCAGUUUCAUAGUGACAUGUGCAGUGGCUUGCUCUGCUUUAGCAAAUGUCAGCUAAAAUAGUAAUUGCAUCCCCUAAGAGAUUACUGCUGUUUACUUCUCAUUUGUUUUUCCAGAAAGGUUGAGGGAGAUGCAGUCCUCAGGUGAACUGGCAGGAGGGUGUUGCACAGCGAAGUGGGUCCUACAUCUCACCAGGGAUGAAGGGCAGUCAUGAUUUACUAGCUCCUAUCAUGAGAUCCAUUUAGGUGUCUGCAAGUUCCUGACCACUAAAAGCUCCCUCAUCUCCAGGGUAGAUUGUGACUGGAGCAACCGCUGUCCCAGUGCUACCUCCUGGAAAACAAAAGGUUAUUUGGCUGUGGAUUACCCUUGUCAUGAGUACUGAAUCAUGUGACAUGCUUGGCCACGGAAGCAGGUAUGUGUGGGGUCUCUCACAAGUUUCUGUCAACACUUAAGUGUUGUGGCUCUCCAGAAUGGAUGACAUUGCUGCCAUUCAUUCUGAGUGGCAUUGCAGCCUCAUUCACAUGGGUUUGACAGUAUCUCAAAUAUCUUAGCCUUUUGCUAUAGUCAGUUCUCUGUUAUCUGAAGGUAAAUAUAGGUACGAGUCAUGACAGCCAAGAUCCUGGGUUUGGAAUACGCCUGCCUCUCUAGCAUUCAGUCAUGCUCUCGGGUGUGGGUGGACCUGCUUCCUGGGUACAGCUGACUUAGCAGUGUUACUCUUCCGAAAGGAAACAUGCACCCUGAACUUUCGCUGUGCUAUGGUAGUACUUCAUGUGCACAACCUCCAGGUGACGUUCACCUCUGGGAUGCAAAGGGAUGGCUACCCCAGUCUCCCUGAAUUUACUACUGGGCAGUGACACAGCGGGGCAUGCAAGGCAUUACUUUGCUCAUGUCCACUAUCCACAAAUGGCAUUUUGUUUUGGUCACCAUUGUUUUUUUCUAGCUAAUACAGGUGUUAAGAGAGGUUUUGCCAACACACGGGCUUUCCAAGCUUUGUUUUCUUUCCUUUUCUGUAGUGUCUCCUUGUCACCCAUACCUAGUACAUCACACUCAGUGUUCAAUCUGUAGUUUAUGCCCUGAUGUGUGUGAGAAACCCUAGGAUAAUUCCCUGUUUGUUCAGCUGUGUGGAGCUGGUAAUUCUGUUGACUGCAAAAUUCCAACUAUUGCAUCCCAUCAUUAUAAAGCAGAAAAAAAAGCUUGGAGGAAAGAGCUCCCUCCUUUCCUUCUUACUUAUUGGGUUGUCCAGAACAGCCCCGAAGCUGGUGCAGGGGUCUGAUCAGAUGCUGCCCUCCAUCCCUCCCCUGCCCUGGGUGGUGGAACAGCAGCACUGUAUGGUGGAGGUGGUGAGGGGCCAUCAGUCUCAAGAGGUGCUGUCUUCUGCCUUUGUCCCUUUCUGUCCUCAUAGCUUCUGUGCCCCCUUCCUGAAGCUCAUUCCCAUUCUUGUUUGAAAACAGCUGCUCUAAUACGGCCCUUUAGCACAAGCAGUCUUUAGAUACAGAAGGUCUGGAUGUGUCUUGGUGUGCCAUCAGAUGAACUUUUUUCAUGUCCUUUAUGUAGUGUGUAACAAAGGGGAUGUUGUGUACAAGGUGCAAGAAAUCUGUGGAGUCUUGAGUGUGACCUCUGCAAAAUUUCACAAAGCACCUUAUGUGUCUUGGUCUUCUCUUUAGUGGUACCAGGAUCAAAUAUUCUUUCAUGGCCCUAUCAUGGUAAUCUUGCAUUAGGGUUCUGAAAUCCUCUGCUAAGUAAGAAGACCCCAAUGAGUUCACAGUGUGAAAGUGGCUCUACACUUUUUCCAAGGGUCCUGCAGAGCAGAUAUUGAUGGGAAGAACAUGUUUGACCUGUUUCCAUUUUUUUAGCAGAUGUUUCAGCCCCAGAGAAUCCCUACAUGUUCCAUGUAACUUAAUUACAUUUUCCAUUUUCUACAAAUAUGAACAUUUUUAUGCAAAGGCAUUUAAGUGGCAUUUCUGUCAUGUUUUACAUUACAGCUGCAUGUAUCUGCAUUAGAUAAGUCAGGAAUAUAUGAAUAACAAAUGUUAAAAUUGGGUCAUAAAUCGCAAGAGUUACUGAGCUCAAACUUCAGAAGACCUAGAUCCUCUCCUAGUACAUUCAUUGGGCAAAUAAUUUAUACCUCGGGACCAUGUGUUGCACUGGAAGACAUCUUUUAGUAUCUGCUGCUAAUCCAGCAUCUCUUAUCUCUGGGACAAAAUAUUUCCUCUAGUUCCCACUGAAUCUUGGGAGAGGGGGAGGGGGAAGAGAUCUAGUAGCACUUAAAAGGUAGAUGAGAAGUGCUGUUCAUGUGCUGAGUUUCAUAUUUUUAACCCUUGCAUUUUAAAAACUUAAAGUAGCACCUUCCAUUUCCUAAACUGAUGACACCUGAGGCUAAAUAGAUCUCUACAGCCAGUUGCCUCAAAUACAUCAAAGACAGAAAUGCUGUUUUACAGGUACCCAGUGAAGAUGCAGAACCAUGGUAUUGCUGGGAACCAACCAGUUGCGACAAUACAAUAGUGCCAAAUUUUGUCAGCAGGCUGAGCAAGUUCAUCCCUUCUUACAAUAUUAUGCCUACAGUGUUCUGUCUAAAAACUAUUAUCCCUUAGAAAACUAGUUGACAACAUUUUAAAGAGGAGAAUCAAAUACUUCACAGUACCUCUGUAGGGUUCUCCCCAUUUUAAUGCACUAAUAAGUGUGGCCAACUACCACUAUCCCAAAAAAAGAUUUUAUUGGAAGCCAUCUGUAGAUAAGAUGUAACUUCUUUAAAUAGUUUUAACUACUCAUCUGUUUCCAUAGUCUGUGGCAUCAUUGGAUAUGUUCACGUUUCUAAGUCUUAAGGUGUAAAGUGGUCUUGUGUUGCUUCUUUAGAAAACAGUAAAAAUCAUAAAGGAAGCCCUGAUUUUUCAGAACAUGAACAUUAAAUUUUAUUUUAAACAAAAUGAAAGCAUGCAUGUGCUUAUACAGUCAACGUUCAGGCAGGGUUUGUGGUUUACUAGCCCAUCUGUUUUGCCUACAAAGCAGCGAAGAGAACAUGGAUCGUGUUAGCAGUCAAAUCUUUCCCUUUGUGUCUUCUCCCCUAUCACAGUCUCCUCUGGAUGCAGCUGGGCUGGAUGCAGCUGCAAGGGGAGUGAGGGAAUGGCAGUUAACUGCAGACCCACUGGCACCCUGUACUGCUAACGGGCAGAGAGGGGGUCUGGGUCCCUCCAGCUCCCCAUCACUCGAUCACACCUCUGAGUCUUCAGGGUAGCCAAAUACUACAUGGUGCUGCAAGAUGCACCGCAGAGGUGUUGAUCUCUGCUAGCUUUGAAAUGAGAGGCUGCUCUAGCUGCCAGUCCACUGUACUUGUGGGUCUCUACCAGCAGAGGGUGGCUGUAAGACCAUUUAUACAUUGCAUUAAACAAUUUACAGGCUGAAUAUUGAGCAUGGUGGCCUUAGUGCUUCCUUUAUUUCCUAAUCCUCCAUUUAUCUUCAGUUAGUAAUUAUAAGAAAUUAAGCAUUUAAUAGAUUUUCAUUUGAGGUUUUCCUCUCUGUUUAUUUUAUUUUGUCGUUAUUCUUCCAGAUGAGAAUAACCAAACAUAAUUAAAUUUACAAAAUCAGGUUUGGGAUAAUGUUACUAUUGAUUGGGAACUAUUUCAGUCUGGGACCUAAGUAUUUGAAAAAUAACUUUGUGAAAAGCUGUCAGUGUUCUAGCAUUUAUUAGGGAUUGAAACUUAAGACACUGAUAGUGAAUGGAAUUCAUCUUGCUGAACUUCAGAGACCUAACAGGUGCCCAUUCUGUGCUUAGGCUUUCCUUAGACUCUGUGGAGAGGACUGCACACAUCCCAAGGCUGAUUUCAGUACCCCUUAUCCUAAUGUAGGUAUCUAAGGUUACAGAACACAAGCUAGCAGGAGCCUGAUCCCAAACUCAUUCAGAGUCCCACUGUGUGUGACAGUUAAUUGUGUAACUGUUAUGCAGGAAGGGGCUCAAUUCUCAUGCUUGUGUUUCAGGGAGACUAAUUUAUCUCUUGAGAUGUCUGUUCCUUUCUGUUGACUACAGAGGGUGCAGAGGUUAGGCUAGCUCAGAGUUAAACCUGCACAUCUAACUAAGACACAUCUUACCCACUGUAUCUACAGGGUGGUGUUACUAUUAUUCGGUAAUACUCUGCAUCCUCUUUAGAGGUCUGUAGACACUUAACAGAUUUUAUGGAUCUGAUUUCACAUCCAGUGGCAUAAAGUAUGACAGUUACUUGCGUAAUUAGUAGAUAGUCAUUAACUUUUCUGAAAUCAGUGGAAUUCCACAUGGGAGCAAUUGCACAAGAUAAGUAGUUCAGGCUGUUGUUGACUGCAGAUCUGUUAGGGAGCUGUUCAUAAUAAAAGGUAGUAGUAAGUGAUGAUGGCAAAUUUAUCAUGUUCUAAUAUAUAGUGAUAUAUAUUCUGUGCUAGAUGUUCUGUUGAGAAUUUGCCUACACAUAUUUAAGUAGUUUUAAAGGUUUGAACGAGUCAAAAAUUCCUGUCUUUAAUUUCAGUUUAUUUACCACUCUGAACCUGUUUUCAAAACUGAAUUCCUAUCUGAAGUUCUUUAAUUUUGAAAAACCUGAGUACCAGCAGCCUUCAUUUUUAACUAUUUCAGAAGUAUAGCACAGAUGAGGCUUUGGUACUUCUAGAGUAGGUAACAUUCCUCUCUGCAGAAAUAGAGCAACCUAGUGACCAAUUCAAGCAAAAGACUGAAGAGGCAUCUUCCAUAAUGGCUACAAACAGCAGAUAAACUCUGGCUUUCCCUUCCACAAAACAGGCAAUACUAAACACACACAUGAGUAGGAUUGGCAUCCUCCUCUUCUGCAGGGAUCAAGCCUUUUGAACCAGUUUCCAAAACUGUAUUCACGGUGCAAGAAUGGUGUUUGAUGUAUUUGAACACAGAGAAAUGUCAUGGGAAUGAUAAAAGGAUUAGAGGAAUAGGGUCAGGAGGAUAAGACAAGGUUAUUGUAGAUACAGGAGUGUAUUCAUGACACCAGCAUAUGCUGUACCUCUUCCAGAGCAGUCUCCAGUCUCCACCGGACUGCAUAGAGCUUUCUGCAAGAUUUAAGUGUGUCUAGCAAUUGCGUUCUGCUCGAGGUUAAUAUGGAAAAUUUUGUGUGUGAUUCCUUGUUGUAAUGACCUGUUAGUGUACAUAUGGGCUUUCCAGUUAUGGAAAUGACCCAUGAUUUAUGAAAUAGCCUCUUCCUGUUUGCAGUGAUGCAGUGACAAUAUUGAGUCAUCUCUAACCCUUUAGCCUUCCCUGUACAGGCUCCUUGUUGUUUGCUGCCUGUCCCCUAGGAUUUGGAUUGAUGAUAGUGGACAACAGGUUUUACUUGAACUAGUCUCAGUUUUAUCAGUUUUGGAUUAAUUACUGCCUUUUCCUAGGGAGAAGGUUUGAGCUACAUUACUGUUAAUCUGAAUUCUAAAUUGCUUAAAAAAUGAGCUGUGUGUAGUUUGGGUUAAAUUAAUGAAUUCUUGAUUUUUGGAUUAACUACUUGCAUUCACUGCAAUCUCUAGGUUUUGAUUCCCUAAAGCGAGGUUAAAUUAUGUUAGCGAUUUAGACCUUAACCUUUUCAUGGAGGAGGCAAAUUCUGGUUUGCUUUUGUUUUUCAGUAUGAUGACCAUCUAUACAGAGAGGUUAAUUGUGGGAAGAUCAUGCUCUAAUACCAUCUUGAUAAGAAUGGUUUUUUUGCUUUGUUAAAUGGAGCCAAGCAAGCUAUAAAGAAUGUCCUAAAACCAUAUUUCAGGUCUGUAGUUAUCAAGACCAAUUUCAUUCACAUCUGUGGUAUUGUAUUCAUUGAUGCCUUUACUCUUACAAUCCAGUUCAACUCUUAACAGAGUUUUGGUUCUAUCUGCUAAAAUGAAGACUUCUAUUUCUUUGUGUAGUAACAAAACCCUGCCAUCCAAAAGUCUACUUGCCUAUGAAAACCUGCCUCAAUGGAUCACAGUCCCUUAUAAAGAUCUCUUCUGCCAUCUGUACAAACCCUCAUGGUUUUGUAGGACUUGCAGUGAUUUGUUUGUAUGCCUUAACUCUAUGCCUUGAGUGAGUCAUGGCAAUAAAUACUCCUGUCUCCAGCUUCUUACAGGGAGCUUCCCACCUGGCAUAUUGACUUGAAGUGGUUUCUUCCCCAAGAAGAACACUGUUUUGUGUGGCAUGCCAAGGCACCUAACUCCCUUCCCAUAGCUUAAUAAGACCAGGGGCCCAAGAAGUUCUGGUUUCAGCUGGAAGGCAGAUACUGCAGUACUCCACCAGAUUGUAUUUCACUGCCUUUGGGAGUGAGCCCCUAAUGCUAAAUCUCAGCAGUAUGACAUCUGACCCUUCAAGGGCUGAAAUGUCUGAAAACAGAACAUAAGUUCUUCCAUCAGGUUCUUACAGUUGGAUCCUUUCUCUACAUACUAUAGCAGGGGCUUAGGUAAAGCAGGUUGGAUGCUCUUUCUUAUUCAGGGUGGCUUAGUUUAACUUUGAAAACAUUGUCUGGCUAAAGAGCUGCAUAUUCAGCAGCUACACAGUGAUGGGUGUGCUGACAAAUAGCUGGAAACCACAGAGCUAUGUUGUUGUUAAUUCCUUUCUGCCAGUGAGACAUUCCUGUUCAUCUCUUGGACAGUAUCAUAAGUCACUUAUUGGUCUUGCCUGUCACUGGAUCCAGAUGAUACAGUGUGAACUCAUGUGUAAUCUGUGUGCCAGUUGUAGAGCCAUUGUGUCUUCCUAGAACCAAGUCUUUUUUAGAUAAUAUCCCAGAGAGAAAGAGAAAAGAAGAUAGAACAAGCUAAAUUACAUCAGUGAGGUAAAAGAGCCAACAGUUUUCCAGAUUUGAAAUGCAGUGCCUUUGGAUAUUGACAAUUUGCAGGUGCUUCAUCAAGGCACAGAAUUUUGCAAAAUCUUUGACGAGGAAAAUACAGACGUGACAUGAUGGUUUUUCUUGUGGGACAUUUUAAUUGCUAUGCUCACUGUUCCCAGUGGAAUCUUACUUUCAGCAGGGGUUUGUCAUCACUUACUUGAUUUGGAUGAACUUUUACCAAAAUCAACAAGGAAGGAAUUGACAGGAUGGACUUUAGUAACGGAAAUUGUGACACGUUUGAAGAGAACACAUGCUUGGAGGAGGGGCUAUUUCUGUUUCAAAAAGUAGCUUCUUAUCAGCAGAACACGCUCUGCUCUUUCCUGCAGAUGUCUUGUCUGUGCCUUGCAGCCGUGCUAAAAAGAUAUUUCAUCUUGUGAGAAGGCAAGGGAAAGAGAUUUACUAUAGUAACAACAUCUAUGCACAUGCUAUUUAAACUCCAGUCAUUAUAUUGAGUUGAACUAAGACAAGCAUUAAAACCACCUGGGACUGUAAUGAUUAGAAGUCCUUGCAGUUAUUGCAAGAUCUGUUUUUCUACUGAAUCAAUACGUGCUGCAGCUUCUAUGAUGAAGGAAGUACAUGGAAAUAUCACUCACUGCCUUUCUGUCUACUGGUCAUGAGUGGCUCAGGGCAGACAUGUCAGUCUUUCAAGACAAAUCAACAGUGUAAAACUUGAGUGUAUGAAAAAUGGCGCUUUUUUUAAUACACAAAGGUCAAUUUUAAAGCAGUGGAGAUGCUAAGCAGUACACGGAGAUCUUUCAGAAAUCAAACUGAACACAAGUAGUCAGGAGUCCAAGAACUGACUUAAAGCAGUGAUGAUGCCUUCUGUCCUACUAUUUCUACUCCUCACUCUUCCCUGAGACACUGCAACCACAACUGAUAGCGUACGCUGUCUUCCCAAACCUAAAUAUUCACUCACACAGAAGAACAUGGGAGGUUUUUUAAAAGCCCCUUGAUAACUGGAACAAGAAAACUUAGCUAUGAGUGGAAUGUCCUUUUAUAAAAUGCCAAAUAGCCUUGUGUUUUUUAAGUCAAAAGCUAACAAGAUAAGCUGUGAGCUCUUAUUACUUCUUCUUAUUCCUUCGCAGUAAAAAUCCGCAGUGCUUUAAAAAUGCUGAAAACAUGACAGCGACUGACAAGAAAAAAAGGGAUCUAAGGAGAUACUGUGCUGAAGAAAUUUUAAUUAUUUUUAUAUAUAAAAAAAUGAUACUGAUGUAGGUCUUGUGUUUGCAAUCUCAGCCAGAAUUCAGUGCUAAGUUUUCACAACCGAGACCCUGACACAUGCUGCCUUUCACCCUUAUGAAAGAACACCUAAUUUGGUAAAAUCCCAGACUAAGGAGAGAGGUCCUAAGAAAUUAAACAGCUGCUUGAACUUUUUAAGUUUUUCUCAGUGAAAGCAUGUCUUGUUUUUAGUAUGCAUGCAGUGUGUGUGUGAGGCUGCUUCCAACAUUUUUAUUACUAGAUCCAUGCACUAGUGUAUCCCCAAACAUAUGCUUUGGUUCAAGUUAGGAGUGGGCAUGUGACCACAUUUCCAUUGAAUUGAGUAUCUAUGGUAUGGAGUUCAUAGGAGUUUUGUAACAGCUGGUAGCUGAUCUAACAUAAAGUGACAAUGGCACAGAGAGAGCAGUAGCUGUAAUCACAUUAAGCGUGUCAGUGUGAAAUCAGUGAAACUUUUAGAGAAAUUUUAACUGGCAGCAUGAGUAAAAGCUGGAUCUACACCUUGGAUAGUGGGUUAUGGUAUAUCUGGUCUGAUACUAAGGAUCCUAAUGUUGGAUUUACUUUGUCAUUAAGCCACAGCCAGAGAGGAGGGUGAACUGUAUCUUUUACAAUUGCUAAAAAUGGAAAGCACUCUGUCACGGGUAUGUUCUCAGUGAAAAAAACAGUGCUAUUUGAAAACUGCUGUUGGAGAUGAUUCAACCAUCAUCUACAUGUUAAAUCUUCAAAAUAUUUUGUGUUACUGCAUAGUGAUAACAAAGAACAAUGUGGAACUGCUAACGUAUACUAACAGGGAGAUUUAAAGAAGAUGUGGCACAGGCGUUUUUAUAACUGUACUUUGUUGGGCUGAGCAUGGGUACAGGUCUUGUCUGCUUGGAUCAUGUAACUGGCCUAAGACCAAAAUAUACACUUACUAUUCAACAAGCCACCUAUGCCCAGCAAUGACAGGGUCCUCCAGUGACAUGUUAACUAUGUCAAUAAACUAUUAACUAAAUAGUAGCUGGGUUUUCUGGUUAAAGGAAAACUAGACCUUCAUUAAAUUCCAUGAUAAGGGUAAAAGAAAGAAUUACUUCUUUCAUUCUGUAAUCUGGUUAUCUGCUGUGUUAACUUGGUCACUGGAUAAUUUGAAUGUGCUAAUCUAUUGACUUAACUGAAAUUGCAGCCUAAAUCAUAUAAAAUGUAGAACAUUGCUUUGGUUUUAAUCAGUUUGGUGAAACUGUAAGUAAAUUAGGUAAGUAAUGUGCUUUGUGAGAUUCAUGUUUGUGCACUCUCCCUUUUUAUGCCACCUGUGCAUGGGACACAAAAUGCGUUCACUUCAUUAGACUACAACCUGGGUCACAAACUGAAGGCAUACAGAAGCUCUGGUGUGAAAUCACCAGCCUCUUGUGUCUGUUUCCAAAGCAACUACCUACAUCCCUUACAUUACGCGGGCUGUAACAUCCCUGAUACAAAACCCCAUGAUAGUUAUCUAUCUAGCAAUAAUGUAGCUGUUUAUAAAUACGCUUACGUGCUAGGGAUUUGCUUCUGUGCCUUCCGUCACCUGCGUAAGGCGACACAAGACACACAAUUGCCAGAAAUAUUCACCUGUAAUGAACACUUACCUGGAUACCCAGCAGGCUGGAAACAAGACAAAGUAGGCAAUUGCAUGGAGCAUCUAACUGACUGCUGCAGGGCAAAGGAGCCACAGCUAUUGGGCCUACUCUACCAGGCUGCAGGGGUAGUACCUGUUCUGCUCAGUUUUCUAUGCAUCCUGUUCCCUGGAACAUGAUAUGUAAUAAAACAUGCGGGGUGGUGUUUGGCACCAGGGAGGAAGGCUGCCUCUGUCUUGUUUGGAUACCGCAGCCAUGGCUGGACCCAUGGAAGGGGACGACAUACUUUCUUUGGCACAGCUAAGCACAAUGAGUGGGGUGAACCAUUUUAAAAGCAGGAUGGGACAGAGAAGCAUUUGUAAGAAAGGACCUGUCCCACAAGGAGUUAAUUUAGAAACUUUCUGUUCUGCCUCACUUGAAAUGUUCUCUAUUUUUUUAAAAAAGGUAUUCCUUCAUGUUUUAACAAAAUCUGAUUUCUGAAGUUAGGAGCUUUGUGGUUUGGAACAUUUAUUUCAAGGGAAGACUGAAGGUAGGUCCACCUCAAACAUCUGCUGACUCUACCAUAGUGCUAAUAUCAUUAUAUAUGUUUAUUACCUCCAAAAUUAGGACAUGCCUGCCUUUAGGUGUCUUGCAGGAUUAUAAUGUGAAUUCCUUAGUUAAUUGCUGAAAAUGUUGUUCCCCCACCCUAUGCUUAGUGUAUUGAUUUGCAAACUUAAACGGCAAGAGUAAAUUGCAGAACAUAGUGACUUGAAUUUAAACCCUUUGUUAAACUUUGGCCUGAAAGCAUCAAGUUGCUCUCCUGAUCAUUCACAUUUACACAAGGUGAGUACAGAGGUAAAGCGCAAUAAAAGGGCAAGGCAAAGGAGAAAGCUCUGCUGAGGUGCUGUAUGAGUCUAACUUGUUGGGCUAUAUUAAUCAGUCUGAUUUUUGCCCUUUUAAAUGCUCAUCCUUUUGCAAAGCUUUCAGCAUGGGGCCCUUUAUGACAAAUGCAGAGCUUGAACAAAGCAUAUUUCUGUCCUCCUACUUAUUUAUGUGUUAAUGUGUAAUUUUUUUCAGUAUUUCACAUAGUGUAACAAAUAGUUACAUGUGUACUUCCUUAUUCCUGUGAUGGAAGCAACGAGGGGGAAAAGGACAAAAGGAGAAGUCAGAAUUUCUGCUGACAGGAAGAAAAAGCAGAUAAGAAUCUAAAAAGAUUUUAUAUGAGCAACCUACUAAUGCAGCUGCUUACUGCUGAGUUCUGCUCAUCAGUAUGCAUAUAUUCUGGUUAUCUGCUGUGUUAACUUAGUGACUGGAUAAUUUGAAUCUGCUAAUUUAUUGACUUAACUGAAAUAGCAGCCUAAAUCAUAUAAAAUAUAAAGCAUAUCAUAUAUAUAUAUAUAUAUAUAUAUAUAUAUAUGGAUUAUUGAGGAUUGGUUUUACUAUGGGGCUAGAUUCUGGCUCCUUUCACAACAAUGAAGUGGUUAAUUAGGCAUAGAAAUACAUUCCCUUCACCCUUUGUCUAAAUGCCAAGCUACCCAAACAUGGUAUUACCUCAUAUAAACCCAACUUGAAGCAAGAACUGAUCAUUACCAGGCUAGUAACCUGUCCUAAUCCCCACCUCACUUGGCACAUUCUCCAAUUGGUGAUUCUCACAGUAUAUCCCAAUUUACCAGCUGCCCCCAGUGUAAAGAGGACAGUUUGUUAGUUCAUUACAGAUUGUUUAUGAUUGCCAAUAUUUACUGUAAGUACUUCUUGGACAAGCGCAGUGCUGUGAACAGACGGGUAUUGGGCAGCUGUAUGUUCCUACAGCAUGCAGAUAAACUGUAGUUGGGGUUUUCCCUGCUAGCAACUCAAGCAAAUGGAUUGUAAAAGCACUUGGGAAUUAACCCAGGACUUUUACGAUGGUCUUGAAGAAGAACAUUUUGAGUACUUCUCUAAACAUCCCUGCUUAGGCCAGCCAGUGAAUUGUUUUUCUGUGCUGUCUGUGAAGUCCUUAAGAAGGUUACACUUCAGUUUGGCAUUACUGGGGGCUCAGCUGGAAAGGCGAGGGCUUUAGGCACCACCAGUAUGUAAAGAAGUCAUUGUGCUUUUAUCACUUUGUCUUGCAGCCUUGGAGAACGGGCUGACAGGCACAGAUCUGCUACAGGCCCCUGCGUUCAAGACCAUAUCCUCUGUCCCCUCCACAUCCCUCACAUCAACGUGCCACUGUUGCACUGAUGUGAUGAGCAGGGUGGGCUCAGGCCACGGAUGAAAGAAGUGCCUGGUUCACCUGGCCCUUGUGCAGGAGCCCUCAGGUAGGGUCUGCGGAGUGGCGGGGGGAAUACUUUCAAGAGCAGCAUAAAAGGUGUAUGAUCAUGUCCUUCUGCUUAUUCUGCCCCUGUAUAAGAAGAAGCUGUGUGUUGUAUGCUUAAUAUUAAAUGGACUAGACAGGUCACUUGGUUUCUCUUUAAUUCUUUUAAUCUUCUUCUUACAAGGUACAAAAUAGGCUUAAGUCAAAAACUAUUUCUUAAUGUAAAGGCUUGAGGGGGGCGGUUGCUCACUUGGCUGUUUUGCU